RNAcentral lists this long non-coding RNA (252 nucleotides) under Solanum tuberosum (potato). Its description in RNAcentral is "long non-coding RNA (STUB_LNC006246)". The record is from RNAcentral. Lineage: Eukaryota; Viridiplantae; Streptophyta; Magnoliopsida; Solanales; Solanaceae.
UUUGUUAGUAUAAUGUGUUAUUUGCUACUUGUUUAUCGCUUUGAUAUUAUGUGAAUUGUUAUAUAACUGUCUCUUCUCGCGCACCCAUCUGAGUCUUCUGAGAUACGUUAUUCGGAGAUGCGAUUACGCUCCCGAGCCAUGAGAUACCAGAGAUGCGGCAACGCUCCUGGGAAGGAUUCUAUAGUAACACAUGUCUUAGGAUGGGAAGGACUAAUAGUGAGGCCGGAAAGCCCUGCUACCGGUAAGCUGUCC